UACGUAGGGUGCAAGCGUUAAUCGGAAUUACUGGGCGUAAAGCGUGCGCAGGCGGUGAUGUAAGACAGAUGUGAAAUCCCCGGGCUCAACCUGGGAACUGCAUUUGUGACUGCAUCGCUGGAGUGCGGCAGAGGGGGAUGGAAUUCCGCGUGUAGCAGUGAAAUGCGUAGAUAUGCGGAGGAACACCGAUGGCGAAGGCAAUCCCCUGGGCCUGCACUGACGCUCAUGCACGAAAGCGUGGUGAGCAAACAGG
Molecule: ribosomal RNA, 253 nt
Filed under: uncultured bacterium
Lineage: Bacteria
Description: partial 16S ribosomal RNA
Rfam family: Bacterial small subunit ribosomal RNA
Source: RNAcentral